GUCGAGCGGUAACAGGGGGAGCUUGCUCCCCGCUGACGAGCGGCGGACGGGUGAGUAAUGCAUAGGAAACUGCCCAGUAGUGGGGGAUAGCCCGGGGAAACCCGGAUUAAUACCGCAUACGCCCUUUGGGGGAAAGCAGGGGAUCUUCGGACCUUGCGCUAUUGGAUGUGCCUAUGUCGGAUUAGCUAGUUGGUGGGGUAAGAGCCUACCAAGGCGACGAUCCGUAGCUGGUCUGAGAGGAUGAUCAGCCACAUCGGGACUGAGACACGGCCCGAACUCCUACGGGAGGCAGCAGUGGGGAAUAUUGGACAAUGGGGGCAACCCUGAUCCAGCCAUGCCGCGUGUGUGAAGAAGGCUUUCGGGUUGUAAAGCACUUUCAGUGAGGAGGAAAACCUUACGACUAAUACUCGUGAGGCUUGACGUUACUCACAGAAGAAGCACCGGCUAACUCCGUGCCAGCAGCCGCGGUAAUACGGAGGGUGCAAGCGUUAAUCGGAAUUACUGGGCGUAAAGCGCGCGUAGGUGGUUUGAUAAGCGAGAUGUGAAAGCCCCGGGCUCAACCUGGGAACGGCAUUUCGAACUGUCAGGCUAGAGUAUGGUAGAGGAGUGUGGAAUUUUCCUGUGUAGCGGUGAAAUGCGUA
This 641-nucleotide ribosomal RNA is filed under the name Marinobacter sp. Its description in RNAcentral is "bacterial SSU rRNA". It matches the Rfam family "Bacterial small subunit ribosomal RNA", at positions 61 to 692 of the family's 1533-position model. Lineage: Bacteria; Pseudomonadati; Pseudomonadota; Gammaproteobacteria; Pseudomonadales; Marinobacteraceae. The record is from RNAcentral.